GGAGUCUAGCAUGUGCGCGAGUCAUUGGGACUCUUAAGCUAAACCUAAAGGCGAAAUGAAAGUGAAGGCGCGCCUCAAGCGCGCGCCGAGGGAGGAUGGGCGCGUCCGCCCGAGGCGACGAAGGCGCACGCGCCCCGCACUCCCGGGGCGUCUCGUUCUCAUCGCGAGAUGAGGCGCACCCAGAGCGUACACGCUGGGACCCGAAAGAUGGUGAACUAUGCCUGGUCAGGACGAAGUCAGGGGAAACCCUGAUGGAGGUCCGUAGCGAUUCUGACGUGCAAAUCGAUCGUCGGAACUGGGUAUAGGGGCGAAAGACUAAUCGAACCAUCUAGUAGCUGGUUCCCUCCGAAGUUUCCCUCAGGAUAGCUGGCGCUCGUCGAGCGCGAGUCUCAUCCGGUAAAGCGAAUGAUUAGAGGCAUUGGGGUCGAAACGGCCUCAACCUAUUCUCAAACUUUAAAUGGGUGAGAUCUCCGGCUUGCUUGAAGCAUGAAGCCGCGAGAUCGGAUCUAGAGUGCCAAGUGGGCCACUUUUGGUAAGCAGAACUGGCGCUGUGGGAUGAACCAAACGCCGAGUUAAAGCGCCUAAAUCGACGCUUAUGGGAUACCAUGAAAGGCGUUGGUAACUUAAGACAGCAGGACGGUGGCCAUGGAA
RNAcentral lists this ribosomal RNA (651 nucleotides) under Phengodidae sp. UPOL 001240. RNAcentral describes it as "eukaryotic LSU rRNA". It matches the Rfam family "Eukaryotic large subunit ribosomal RNA", at positions 670 to 1259 of the family's 3401-position model. Lineage: Eukaryota; Metazoa; Arthropoda; Insecta; Coleoptera; Phengodidae. The record is from RNAcentral.